UUGAUUAUACAUCACCCUUAGCAAGUACACUGAUGAGACAAAGCUGGGAGAGAAGUGGUUGGCACGCCAAAAGGCUGUGCUGCCAUUCAGCAAGACCUGGACAGGAUGGUGAGCUGGGCAGAAACAAACCAGAUGAGGUGGAACAAAAGCAAGUGUAGAGUCUUGCACCUGGGAAGGAAUAACUGCAAAUAUCAGUAGAGCUUAGGAUGUGACCGGCUGGAGAGGAGCUCUGCAGAGAAGGACCUGGGGGUGCUGGUGGACGACAGGUCGGCCAUGAGCCAGCAGUGUGCCAUGCUGGCCAAGAAGACCAAUGGCAUCCUGGGGUGCUUUAAAAGGAGUGCCGCCAGCUGAGCAAGGGAGGUGAUCCCCGCUCUCUGCUCUGCCCUGGUCAGGCCUCACCUGCAGUACUGCAUCCAGUUCUGGGCUCCCUUCCUGGUACAGAAAUGACAAGGAUCUCCUGGAGAGAGUCCAACAGAAGGCCAGGAAGAUGAUAAAGGGCUUGGAGCAUCUCCUCAGUAUGGAAAGGCUGGGGGACCUGGGUCUGUUCAGCCUUGAGGAAAGAAGACUGAGAGCAGAUCUGAUUAAUGCUUAUGUAUUUGUUAAGUGUGGGAGUCCAAAGGACACAGAUCUCUUGUCAGCGAUCUGUGGGGACAGGAGAAGGGGAAAUGGCCACAAACUGGAGCACAGGAAGUUCUGCACCAAAAUGCAAAGGAUCUUCACGGUGAGGAUGAUGGAGCGCUGGAACAGGCUGCCCAGGGAGGCUGUGGAUUCAUCUUCUCUGGAGAUAUUCCAGAACCACCUGGACACCCACCUGUGCAGCAUGCUGUAGGGAGCCCGUUUUGCAGGGAGCUUGGACUCAAUGAUCACUGGGGGUCCCCUGCAACCCCAAUUCUGUGGUCCUGUGAUUUUAAUUCUUGCUUCUUGCAGCGAUGCAGUGUUUCAGAAGGGAGAAAAGCACGGCAGGCGUAAACUGGAUUUCUGUGGUUGGUGAAGCUGUGCUGAGAAGUGGGCUGACUGCUGCCCCUGGAAAUGAGUCUGCAGACUUUGCACCCAGAGGAAUGACUUUUCCCUGCAGGUUGGGCUUGUCUAAGGUGAUUUUUUUCACGAGGAAAGAUUUGAAAUGCUGUUUGCUAAUGGAAGAUGGAGAGAGGAAAAUCAAGUCGAAGGCACGCUGUGCAUAGCCAGCACAUAGCAUCUGCACCGCUCUCCCCCUGCACAAAGGAGGAGCAACUCAGCAAGCUUGGCCUGGGCCAGGAAGGCAGCAUACAAACAUCUGGACCAACCCCAACAGAGCUGCUUCUGCAGGAAUCCAUGUGGGUUUUUUAAUGAAGAACAAACUCGUGCAGCUUGUGAGUGAAUUCAUUCACGCAUGUUAAUCGUUGUUCUUCUCUACGUGGAGCUGCAAUUGCGAUGGAUGCUUGUGGUCUGAUGUGCAGCCCCCUCUGAUGUGCUUAGAUGAGCCAAGUUUGCAAGGCCUGGCUCUCAGUUGGUGAGUUGUGCCCAAGGUCAGAGAGGUGACUCUUGUCAGCUUUGAGAUGCAUCUUCCAGUUGCACACUGUGUUCUUCCUGUUGCGUUGAGCUCUUGAGCUCCAGCCCUAAGUGAGGAUGCAAGCGCUACCGCGGAAGGGAUGGUUGAGAUUGGAAGUGCAGGGCAAAGGGCUGGAGCCAGCAGGAGCAGGGAUGUGAUC
This is a long non-coding RNA of Centrocercus urophasianus (Greater sage-grouse), 1688 nucleotides long. RefSeq lists it as uncharacterized. The record is from RefSeq and is a predicted model, not a curated record. The transcript is spliced from 3 exons. Lineage: Eukaryota; Metazoa; Chordata; Aves; Galliformes; Phasianidae.